CCUACGGGAGGCAGCAGUGGGGAAUAUUGCACAAUGGGGGAAACCCUGAUGCAGCAACGCCGCGUGGGUGAAGGAGCGUUUCGGCGCGUAAAGCCCUGUCAGCGGGGAAGAAGAAGGACGGUACCGGCCCAAGAACCCCCGGCUAACAACGGCCCAGCAGCCGGGGUAAUACGUAGGGGCCAAGGGUUAGCCGGUAUUACUGGGUGUAAAGGGGGCGUAGACGGCGAGGUAAGCCUGAAGUGGAAGCCCGCGGCCCAACCGCGGAACUGCUUUUGGAACUGUUUUGCUGGAGUAUGGGAGGGGCAAGCGGAAUUCCUGGUGUAGCGGUGAAAUGCGUAGAUAUCAGGAGGAACACCGGUGGCGAAGGCGGCCUGCUGGACCAUGACUGACGUUGAGGCUCGAAGGCGUGGGGAGCAAACAGGAUUAGAUACCCCUGUAGUC
RNAcentral lists this ribosomal RNA (441 nucleotides) under uncultured bacterium. RNAcentral's name for it is "partial 16S ribosomal RNA". It matches the Rfam family "Bacterial small subunit ribosomal RNA", at positions 338 to 795 of the family's 1533-position model. The record is from RNAcentral.